UCCGAGUUGACCCCGGCAGUCUUCGAUGAGUCCCCGGCAUAACCCGCUGGCAACAUGGAACGAGGGUUGCGCUCGUUGCGGGACUUAACCCAACAUCUCACGACACGAGCUGACGACAGCCAUGCACCACCUGCACACCAACCACAAGGGAAGCCCUAUCUCUAGGGAUGUCUGGUGCAUGUCAAACCCAGGUAAGGUUCUUCGGGUCGCAUCGAAUUAAGCCGCAUGCUCCGCCGCUUGUGCGGGGACCCGUCAAUUCCUUUGAGUUUUAGCCUUGCGGCCGUACUCCCCAGGCGGGGAACUUAAUGCGUUAGCUUCGGCACGGACGGAGUCGACACCGCCCACACCUAGUUCCCAUCGUUUACGGCGUGGACUAC
This 377-nucleotide unclassified non-coding RNA is filed under the name uncultured Actinomycetes bacterium. Its description in RNAcentral is "uncultured actinobacterium contains 16S-23S intergenic spacer region". Lineage: Bacteria; Bacillati; Actinomycetota; Actinomycetes. The record is from RNAcentral.